RNAcentral lists this non-coding RNA (22 nucleotides) under Rattus norvegicus (Norway rat). The record is from RNAcentral. Lineage: Eukaryota; Metazoa; Chordata; Mammalia; Rodentia; Muridae.
UUGGGGUGGUGAUGGUGGUAUA